CCCCCACACACCCCUGUGCACCUAAUGGCGAGCGCCUCCCGUCUGGAGCCGUCUUGGGGCCUCCGUGCCCUGGGGCCGAGGCGUUCGCCGCCCAAAUACACGUUGCAGCCAGUCGAACGCAUGUCUUUUUGAUGCCCUAUGGGGCAAAAAAGUAAAGCACAACUUUCAACAACGGAUCUCUUGGCUUUCGCAUCGAUGAAGAACGCCGCGAAAGUGCGAAACGUAAUGUGAAUUGCAGAAUUCAGUGAAUCAUCGAAUCUUUGAACGCAUCUUGCGCUCCUUGGUAUUCCGAGGAGCAUGCCUGUUUGAGCGUCGUGUGUAGAAACUCAAGCGCCCCCUUUUUAGGUUGGGGGCUUGGACUUGGACGUCUGCGGCAAGGUGGGCUUUUGCCUCCGGCCGCUCGUCUUCAAACGCAUCAGCUGGUCCCUCAUAGUCGGUUCAACGACGGUGUGAUAAUAGACGCUCUGUUGACUGUGGCGCCGUCCGUUGCCGAUUUGGCCUGGCUUA
RNAcentral lists this ribosomal RNA (507 nucleotides) under Gomphus clavatus. RNAcentral's name for it is "eukaryotic LSU rRNA". The stretch from base 161 to 315 matches the Rfam family "5.8S ribosomal RNA". Lineage: Eukaryota; Fungi; Basidiomycota; Agaricomycetes; Gomphales; Gomphaceae. The record is from RNAcentral.